Molecule: unclassified non-coding RNA, 887 nt
Filed under: Leishmania donovani
Lineage: Eukaryota; Euglenozoa; Kinetoplastea; Trypanosomatida; Trypanosomatidae
Description: gene:LdHU3.35.5970(CDS-product:sm-f_snRNP_core_co mplex_protein_putative)
Source: RNAcentral
CAUACCACGAAUACUCACGGCGAUCGCCCUUGCUGGCAAACAACAGAUCGGCAAGCUAAAGCCAACGCUUGACGGGCACUUGGACACGCACACGUGCACGCACAGAGAAAGAGAGAGAGAGAAACGCUUUUCCGACCCCUCUUCUACCCCGUUGUGGUGAUACUGUUCAAUCUUUUCGGUGUGUGUGGUUUUGCUCGCUUUGCGCCUCUGCAGCGCCAAAAAAGGUCAUUGGCGGAUUCUUCCUCGGCGCCAGUAUGGAGGCCAACGUCCCGGGAGCGUUUCUGCACAGCCUUAUCGGCAAAAACGUGCUUGUGAAGAGCAAGUGGGGCCCGGUGUACGAGGGUAACCUUGUAAGCUGCGACACAUUCAUGAACCUGCAGCUGCGCAAUGCGGUAGAGCACGCGAAACAGGACACCGAACUGGGUGAAAUGCUGUUGCGCAACAACAACAUCCUGUACAUCCGUGAGGAGGCUAGUGCGUCUUGAUAGGCAGCACCAUAGGUGCCCUCGGGAGAAAUCGCGGUGCUCCAUCGUUGGUAGCACCAUCCCCACAUGUCUCGAGGGCAGCGGUGAGCGUGUUUCAUUAGUGUACAGCACGCUUGAUGAGUGGGAUACACGAAAACGAGGCCGGGGGGUCACGACAGUUUUUCUCUGGGAUAAAACAACGGCACCGUUGUCACUGAUGAAUCGUGGGCCUCUCUGUGAUCUGUUGACAACAGGUGCGCGUGUUUGUUUGCUCUGGUCGCGGAACGCUCUGUAUCCGUCCUCGCACAUGUAUGCUGACGCGUCGGUGUGUGUGGAUGCGCCGGCUUAUUUUUUUCUGAGAACGGAAGGCGGGCAUGAGCUUCAGCUCUGAAGGUGCCGUUUAGCCGCAGUCGGUUUUGUAAC